CGGCGCACGGGUGCGUAACGCGUAUGCAAUCUACCUUUCACAGAGGGAUAGCCCAGAGAAAUUUGGAUUAAUACCUCAUAGUAUAUUGGUCUCGCAUGAGAUCAUUAUUAAAGAUUUAUCGGUGAAAGAUGAGCAUGCGUCCCAUUAGUUAGUUGGUAAGGUAACGGCUUACCAAGACUACGAUGGGUAGGGGUCCUGAGAGGGAGAUCCCCCACACUGGUACUGAGACACGGACCAGACUCC
Molecule: ribosomal RNA, 243 nt
Filed under: uncultured bacterium
Lineage: Bacteria
Description: partial 16S ribosomal RNA
Rfam family: Bacterial small subunit ribosomal RNA
Source: RNAcentral